Molecule: transfer RNA, 91 nt
Filed under: compost metagenome
Description: tRNA-Ile
Source: RNAcentral
UGCGGCGUGGCGCAGGUCGACGGCGUCGGUGCCGAUGCCACUGAUGGCGAUGAUCUGCAGCGCCGGCAGCUGAUCCAUCAGCGCGUUGGAC